CCUACGGGAGGCAGCAGUAGGGAAUAUUGGUCAAUGGGCGAAAGCCUGAACCAGCCAUGCCGCGUGCAGGAAGACGGCCUUCUGGGUUGUAAACUGCUUUUAUACGGGAAUAAAGAGUCCCUGCGGGGAAAUUUGCAGGUACCGUAUGAAUAAGCACCGGCUAACUCCGUGCCAGCAGCCGCGGUAAU
This 188-nucleotide ribosomal RNA is filed under the name uncultured bacterium. Its description in RNAcentral is "partial 16S ribosomal RNA". It matches the Rfam family "Bacterial small subunit ribosomal RNA", at positions 338 to 524 of the family's 1533-position model. The record is from RNAcentral.